AACGAACGCUGGCGGCAGGCUUAACACAUGCAAGUCGAGCGCCCCGCCAGGGGAGCGGCAGACGGGUGAGUAACGCGUGGGAACGUACCUUUUGGUUCGGAACAACUCCGGGAAACUGGAGCUAAUACCGGAUAAGCCCUAACGGGGAAAGAUUUAUCGCCGAAAGAUCGGCCCGCGUCUGAUUAGCUAGUUGGUGAGGUAACGGCUCACCAAGGCGACGAUCAGUAGCUGGUCUGAGAGGAUGAUCAGCCACACUGGGACUGAGACACGGCCCAGACUCCUACGGGAGGCAGCAGUGGGGAAUAUUGGACAAUGGGCGCAAGCCUGAUCCAGCCAUGCCGCGUGAGUGAUGAAGGCCUUAGGGUUGUAAAGCUCUUUUGUCCGGGAAGAUAACGACUGUACCGGAAGAAUAAGCCCCGGCUAACUUCGUG
Molecule: ribosomal RNA, 431 nt
Filed under: uncultured bacterium
Lineage: Bacteria
Description: partial 16S ribosomal RNA
Rfam family: Bacterial small subunit ribosomal RNA
Source: RNAcentral